This 1052-nucleotide ribosomal RNA is filed under the name uncultured bacterium. RNAcentral describes it as "bacterial SSU rRNA". It matches the Rfam family "Bacterial small subunit ribosomal RNA", at positions 336 to 1393 of the family's 1533-position model. The record is from RNAcentral.
CUCCUACGGGAGGCAGCAGUGAGGAAUAUUGGUCAAUGGACGAGAGUCUGAACCAGCCAAGUAGCGUGCAGGAAGACGGCCCUAUGGGUUGUAAACUGCUUUUAUAAGGGAAUAAAGUGAGAGUCGUGACUCUUUUUGCAUGUACCUUAUGAAUAAGGACCGGCUAAUUCCGUGCCAGCAGCCGCGGUAAUACGGAAGGUCCGGGCGUUAUCCGGAUUUAUUGGGUUUAAAGGGAGCGUAGGCCGGAGAUUAAGCGUGUUGUGAAAUGUAGAUGCUCAACAUCUGAACUGCAGCGCGAACUGGUUUCCUUGAGUACGCACAAAGUGGGCGGAAUUCGUGGUGUAGCGGUGAAAUGCUUAGAUAUCACGAAGAACUCCGAUUGCGAAGGCAGCUCACUGGAGCGCAACUGACGCUGAAGCUCGAAAGUGCGGGUAUCGAACAGGAUUAGAUACCCUGGUAGUCCACACCGUAAACGAUGAUUACUAGGUGUUGGAGGAUUGACCCCUUCAGUGCCGCAGUUAACACAAUAAGUAAUCCACCUGGGGAGUACGACCGCAAGGUUGAAACUCAAAGGAAUUGACGGGGGCCCGCACAAGCAGUGGAGUAUGUGGUUUAAUUCGACGCAACGCGAAGAACCUUACCAAGUCUUGACAUCCCUUGACGAUGCUGGAAACAGCAUUUCUCUUCGGAGCAAGGAGACAGGUGGUGCAUGGUUGUCGUCAGCUCGUGUCGUGAGAUGUUGGGUUAAGUCCCGCAACGAGCGCAACCCUUAUGGUCAGUUACUACGCAAGAGGACUCUGGCCAGACUGCCGUUGACAAAACGGAGGAAGGUGGGGAUGACGUCAAAUCAUCAUGCCCUUUAUGACUUGGGCUACACACGUACUACAAUGGCGUUAAACAAAGAGAAGCAAGACCGCGAGGUGGAGCAAAACUCAGAAACAACGUCCCAGUUCGGACUGCAGGCUGCAACUCGCCUGCACGAAGUCGGAAUUGCUAGUAAUCGUGGAUCAGCAUGCCACGGUGAAUACGUUCCCGGGCCUUGUACACACCGC